Molecule: ribosomal RNA, 300 nt
Filed under: Salmonella enterica
Lineage: Bacteria; Pseudomonadati; Pseudomonadota; Gammaproteobacteria; Enterobacterales; Enterobacteriaceae
Description: partial 16S ribosomal RNA
Rfam family: Bacterial small subunit ribosomal RNA
Source: RNAcentral
AAAUUGAAGAGUUUGAUCAUGGCUCAGAUUGAACGCUGGCGGCAGGCCUAACACAUGCAAGUCGAACGGUAGCACAGAGAGCUUGCUCUCGGGUGACGAGUGGCGGACGGGUGAGUAAUGUCUGGGAAACUGCCUGAUGGAGGGGGAUAACUACUGGAAACGGUGGCUAAUACCGCAUAACGUCGCAAGACCAAAGAGGGGGACCUUCGGGCCUCUUGCCAUCAGAUGUGCCCAGAUGGGAUUAGCUAGUUGGUGAGGUAACGGCUCACCAAGGCGACGAUCCCUAGCUGGUCUGAGAGG